RNAcentral lists this ribosomal RNA (839 nucleotides) under uncultured bacterium. RNAcentral's name for it is "bacterial SSU rRNA". It matches the Rfam family "Bacterial small subunit ribosomal RNA", at positions 61 to 904 of the family's 1533-position model. The record is from RNAcentral.
GUCGAGGGGUAUAUGGAGCUUGCUCCAUAGAGACCGGCGCACGGGUGCGUAACGCGUAUGCAACCUACCUUGAACAGGGGAAUAGCCCAGAGAAAUUUGGAUUAAUGCCCCAUAGUAUAUAUGGAUCGCAUGGUUUAUAUAUUAAAGUCACAACGGUUCAAGAUGGGCAUGCGUCCCAUUAGCUGGUUGGUAAGGUAACGGCUUACCAAGGCAAUGAUGGGUAGGGGUCCUGAGAGGGAGAUCCCCCACACUGGUACUGAGACACGGACCAGACUCCUACGGGAGGCAGCAGUGAGGAAUAUUGGUCAAUGGGCGCAAGCCUGAACCAGCCAUGCCGCGUGCAGGAUGAAGCAUCUAUGGUGUGUAAACUGCUUUUGUACGGGAAGAAACACCGGUUCGUGAACCGGCUUGACGGUACCGUAAGAAUAAGGAUCGGCUAACUCCGUGCCAGCAGCCGCGGUAAUACGGAGGAUCCAAGCGUUAUCCGGAAUCAUUGGGUUUAAAGGGUCCGUAGGCGGCCCUGUAAGUCAGUGGUGAAAUCUCCCGGCUCAACCGGGAAAUUGCCAUUGAUACUGCAGGGCUUGAAUUGCUGGGAAGUAACUAGAAUAUGUAGUGUAGCGGUGAAAUGCUUAGAGAUUACAUGGAAUACCAAUUGCGAAGGCAGGUUACUACCAGCGGAUUGACGCUGAUGGACGAAAGCGUGGGUAGCGAACAAGAUUAGAUACCCUGGUAGUCCACGCCGUAAACGAUGGAUACUAGCUGUUGGGGGCAACUUCAGUGGCUAAGCGAAAGUGAUAAGUAUCCCACCUGGGGAGUACGGGCGCAAGCCUGAAACUCAA